Molecule: long non-coding RNA, 463 nt
Filed under: Elaeis guineensis (African oil palm)
Lineage: Eukaryota; Viridiplantae; Streptophyta; Magnoliopsida; Arecales; Arecaceae
Description: long non-coding RNA (EGUI_LNC006429)
Source: RNAcentral
AUCAAUAAGUGGAAUCUUGACAAAUCGGGUUAGCAUUCUCUCAUCAACAUGACCGACAAUGGUGAAAUGUUUUUAUUGGUCCAAUGGUAGGCUGAAGUCAGUAAGCUCAUACGGGCAUUGGAAUUCAGCUAAUCAAGUAAAUAUGCAAGCGUAGGCCAAUUCUUGGAGUUGAACUAUUGUCCACCGUCACCCUCCACUUUCUUGAUUCAUGGAAUCUUGAAUCUUCCUACUCCCUGAUACACCCCAACCAAAAAAAAAGAGCGAGCACCACGCACCAAACCCUUAAAAUAAUAUAAAAAAAAGAGCAUUAUGCCAGGCUUCUCCAUCAUGUACAGUAUCAACUAUACACGAAGAAACGCGAUGACUGGAAUUUUAUGCAUAUUAUUUUAACUUAUUGAUCGCUUACCAGAUUGAUCGUCUCCUGGCUCAAAACUCAUUCCAUCUCUCCGAUUUGAAGCUCAGC